RNAcentral lists this long non-coding RNA (706 nucleotides) under Bemisia tabaci. RNAcentral's name for it is "lncRNA ENSSSA3NGG013550". Lineage: Eukaryota; Metazoa; Arthropoda; Insecta; Hemiptera; Aleyrodidae. The record is from RNAcentral.
AGAAAUACAGAAAAGGACAAUGCGAGUUUUGCUUCAUGGGGGCUGCUGCGAAAUCUGUGAUAAAAUAAUUAUAAUAUUAUCUUCCGUUAUUUUCCAUUUCUGUGAGAUGAAAAUGGCGUCCCGACUUUUAACUUCUAACUUGUUUGUGUUAUUAAAUUUGUGCCUAAUUUCCUCUUGUUAUUGUCGCAAUUCUCAUUUAUAUUACGAAACAGAUAGCUUGAGUUUUGAAGAUUAUGACUUCUCACCCAUUGAUCAUGUUCGAGCAAAACGGAGUCCCUACAAUUUAUCUCAAGACUCCGCUCAUAUCCUGCGCAACGCCAAUUCUAGUGAUGACAUCUCAGGAAAACCGAUGAGCAAAUCGAUUUCUAUCACUGAGCCAAUUGAUCCCAAUGCAAACCAUAGCCCCUCUGUAGCACACUCACCAAUACUUGUUUCCAAUCCAGGCGAGAGUGGAAAAUAUCCUCGAGGCAAAAAUUUCACUGGUCUAACUCGAGUUUCUCCCAUCAGCUCUGGUCUAAGCACUCCCCACAUCUUUGGUGGCAUAAGUUCAACCUCUGAAAUACCAGCUCUUGCCGAUGAGCAAACUCUCGUUCCAUCUUACCUGACCCAAUCAAUAAUCAAACCUUGAGUGAGCAUGACAUCAGCUCCAGCACCAAUGACACACAAUCGUAUUACACUCACACCAUUUAUAAUGAUCCAAAAACAG